Molecule: ribosomal RNA, 613 nt
Filed under: Bjerkandera adusta
Lineage: Eukaryota; Fungi; Basidiomycota; Agaricomycetes; Polyporales; Phanerochaetaceae
Description: eukaryotic LSU rRNA
Rfam family: Eukaryotic large subunit ribosomal RNA
Source: RNAcentral
UUGAAGCGGGGAAAAGCUCAAAUUUAAAAUCUGGCGGUCUUCGGCCGUCCGAGUUGUAAUCUGGAGAAGCGUUUUCCGCGCUGGACCGUGUACAAGUCUCUUGGAACAGAGCGUCAUAUCAGGGUGARAAUCCCGUCUUUGACACGGACUACCAGUGCUAUGUGAUGCGCUCUCGAUGAGUCGAGUUGUUUGGGAAUGCAGCUCAAAAUGGGUGGUAAAUUCCAUCUAAAGCUAAAUAUUGGCGAGAGACCGAUAGCGAACAAGUACCGUGAGGGAAAGAUGAAAAGCACUUUGGAAAGAGAGUUAAACAGUACGUGAAAUUGCUGAAAGGGAAACGAUUGAAGUCAGUCGCGUGUGCUARAACUCAGCCUUGCUUUUGCUUGGUGCAUUUUCUAGUGUACGGGCCAGCAUCAGUUUUGGCCGCCGGAAAAAGGCCUUGGGAAUGUGGCACCUUCGGGUGUGUUAUAGCCCUUGGUUGUAUACGGUGGCUGGGACUGAGGAACAUAGCAUGCCUUUACGGCGGGGCUUCGGCCACCUUCAUGCUUUGGAUGCUGGCGUAAUGGCUUUAAACGACCCGUCUUGAAACACGGACCAAGGAGUCUAACAUGCCUGC